AACGAACGCUGGCGGCGCGCCUAAUACAUGCAAGUCGAGCGAGAAGACGUAGCAAUACGUUUGUAAAGCGGCGAACGGGUGAGGAAUACAUGGGUAACCUACCCUCGAGUGGGGAAUAACUAGCCGAAAGGUUAGCUAAUACCGCGUACGCUUCUUGGACUUCGGUUCAGGGAGGAAAGCGAUACCGUGGGUAUCGCGCUCUUGGAUGGGCUCAUGUCCUAUCAGCUUGUUGGNGAGGUAACGGCUCACCAAGGCUUCGACGGGUAGCUGGUCUGAGAGGACGAUCAGCCACACUGGCACUGCGACACGGGCCAGACUCCUACGGGAGGCAGCAGUAAGGAAUAUUGCGCAAUGGGUGAAAGCCUGACGCAGCGACGCCGCGUGGGGGAUGAAGGUCUUCGGAUUGUAAACCCC
This 414-nucleotide ribosomal RNA is filed under the name uncultured bacterium. RNAcentral's name for it is "bacterial SSU rRNA". It matches the Rfam family "Bacterial small subunit ribosomal RNA", at positions 29 to 433 of the family's 1533-position model. The record is from RNAcentral.